UACGUAGGGUGCGAGCGUUGUCCGGAAUUAUUGGGCGUAAAGAGCUCGUAGGCGGUCCGUCGCGUCGGUCGUGAAAACUUGGGGCUUAACCCUGAGCUUGCGGUCGAUACGGGCAUGACUGGAGUUCGGUAGGGGAGACUGGAAUUCCUGGUGUAGCGGUGAAAUGCGCAGAUAUCAGGAGGAACACCGGUGGCGAAGGCGGGUCUCUGGGCCGAUACUGACGCUGAGGAGCGAAAGCGUGGGGAGCGAACAGG
RNAcentral lists this ribosomal RNA (254 nucleotides) under uncultured bacterium. RNAcentral describes it as "partial 16S ribosomal RNA". It matches the Rfam family "Bacterial small subunit ribosomal RNA", at positions 524 to 776 of the family's 1533-position model. The record is from RNAcentral.